ACACCCGGCUCUCUCGGCAUCUCAGACCCGUUUCACACAAUCAUCAGGUGAGCCGAGGAUCCAUUGGAGGAAGGCAUUAUCUGUAUCCAGAGGAAAUAGCCAAGGAUAUUCAAGGUGUGCCUGGGAAGUUUGAGCUGCAGCAGUGGAACCUUAAUGCCCAGGAUGAUCCUGUCUAACACCACAGCGGUGACGCCCUUUCUGACCAAGCUGUGGCAGGAGACAGUUCAGCAGGGUGGCAACAUGUCGGGCCUGGCCCGCAGGUCCCCCCGCAGCAGUGACGGCAAGCUGGAGGCCCUCUACGUCCUCAUGGUACUGGGAUUCUUCGGCUUCUUCACCCUGGGCAUCAUGCUGAGCUACAUCCGCUCCAAGAAGCUGGAGCACUCGAACGACCCAUUCAACGUCUACAUCGAGUCCGAUGCCUGG
This 423-nucleotide long non-coding RNA is filed under the name Homo sapiens (human). RNAcentral describes it as "non-protein coding lnc-SMIM34A-1:2". The record is from RNAcentral. Lineage: Eukaryota; Metazoa; Chordata; Mammalia; Primates; Hominidae.